AUUUUCCUCUAUCUGAUCUUGGAAGCUAAGCAAGGUCGGGCCUGGUUAGUACUUGGCUGGGAGACCACCUAGGAAGACCAGGUGCUGUAGGUG
Non-coding RNA from Pteropus alecto (black flying fox), 93 nucleotides. The record is from Rfam. Lineage: Eukaryota; Metazoa; Chordata; Mammalia; Chiroptera; Pteropodidae.